RNAcentral lists this ribosomal RNA (252 nucleotides) under uncultured bacterium. Its description in RNAcentral is "partial 16S ribosomal RNA". It matches the Rfam family "Bacterial small subunit ribosomal RNA", at positions 524 to 776 of the family's 1533-position model. The record is from RNAcentral.
UACGUAGGUCCCGAGCGUUGUCCGGAUUUAUUGGGCGUAAAGCGAGCGCAGGUGGUUUAUUAAGUCUGGUGUAAAAGGCAGUGGCUCAACCAUUGUAUGCAUUGGAAACUGGUAGACUUGAGUGCAGGAGAGGAGAGUGGAAUUCCAUGUGUAGCGGUGAAAUGCGUAAAUAUAUGGAGGAACACCGGUGGCGAAAGCGGCUCUCUGGCCUGUAACUGACACUGUGGCUCGAAAGCGUGGGGAGCAAACAGG